RNAcentral lists this ribosomal RNA (416 nucleotides) under uncultured bacterium. Its description in RNAcentral is "bacterial SSU rRNA". It matches the Rfam family "Bacterial small subunit ribosomal RNA", at positions 35 to 496 of the family's 1533-position model. The record is from RNAcentral.
GCUGGCGGCACGCCUAACACAUGCAAGUCGAACGAAGUAGCAAUACUUAGUGGCAGACGGGUGAGUAACAUGUAGGUAUCUACCCUUUGGCCUGGAAUAACACGAGGAAACUUGUGCUAAUACCGGAUAAGUCUUUACGGAGAAAGCUUUAUGCACCAUUGGAUGAGCCUGCACUUGAUUAGUUUGUUGGUGGGGUAAUGGCCUACCAAGACUGUGAUCAAUAGCUGAUUUGAGAGGAUGAUCAGCCACAUUGGGACUGAGACACGGCCCAAACUCCUACGGGAGGCAGCAGUGGGGAAUCUUGCACAAUGGAGGAAACUCUGAUGCAGCGAUGCCGCGUGAGUGAAGAAGGCCCUUGGGUUGUAAAGCUCUUUCGUCGGGGAAGAAAAUGACUGUACCCGAAUAAGAAGGUCCGG